RNAcentral lists this ribosomal RNA (464 nucleotides) under Liposcelis tricolor. RNAcentral describes it as "partial 16S ribosomal RNA". The record is from RNAcentral. Lineage: Eukaryota; Metazoa; Arthropoda; Insecta; Psocodea; Liposcelididae.
GUCUUUUUUUUAAAGUCCUCCCUGCUCGCUGUAUUUAAAGGGCCGCUGUAAAUGGUGCAAAGGUAGCAUAAUCAAUUGUCUUUUUAUUAAAGUCUAGAAUGAAAGGGAAAAUGGUCUAAAAACUUUAAAAAAUUGAUUUAAAAAAUUUAACUUUAAGUAAAAAUGCUUAAGUAUUAAAAUGGGACGAGAAGACCCUAAGAUUUUUAUGAAAACUUCUAAUUUUUUUUAUUCAUUUAAUUGGGGAAAUUAGUAAAUUAAACUUUAGUUAUUUGAAUUCAAUAUAAUUGAGUGUUAAAGAGUGAAACUAAAAAAAAUUAUAAUUACCUUAGGGAUAACAGCGUUAUAACAAAUGAGAAAAUUGUAUUAUAAAUUUAUUUAAAUUUGUGUUUGCGACCUCGAUGUUGAAUUAAAAUUACCAUUUUAGUAGAGUUAACAUGGGUUUAGUCUGUUCGACUAUUAAAUUU